Molecule: transfer-messenger RNA, 345 nt
Filed under: Erythrobacter sp. 34-65-8
Lineage: Bacteria; Pseudomonadati; Pseudomonadota; Alphaproteobacteria; Sphingomonadales; Erythrobacteraceae
Rfam family: Alphaproteobacteria transfer-messenger RNA
About the family: Bacterial tmRNA, also known as 10Sa RNA or SsrA, is named for its dual tRNA and mRNA-like properties.
Source: RNAcentral
UCACUUCACAUUAAGCGGACGCGGCCUAUAUAGGUCGUGUCCGCAUUCGUGCGGGCUAUGGCGAUAAACUGCAGUGUGCAAUAGGCACAGCGGUCCCGGGGGCAGUAACCGGCGGCUCCACCACCUCCGGCGGUAUCGCGCUGGAAAUGCUGGGGCCGAACCAGGAUCGACGUGUGUUGAAAAGCACUGUUUUCGCCCGGGCUGAGUAACCCGCAUAAGGCUCACAACCCACAAGUGCCAACGAUAACGAAGCACUCGCAAUCGCCGCGUAAUUGAUGGGCUAACGCCCUGAUAUUACAAAGCUAAAAAGCGCGGUUGGACCGACCGGGCAACAGAACGGAUACC